CACGUAGGGCGCAAGCGUUGUCCGGAAUUAUUGGGCGUAAAGAGCUCGUAGGCGGUCUGUUGCGUCCGCUGUGAAAACUCGGGGCUUAACCCCGAGCCUGCAGUGGAUACGGGCAGACUAGAGGUAGGUAGGGGAGAAUGGAAUUCCCGGUGUAGCGGUGAAAUGCGCAGAUAUCAGGAGGAACACCGAUGGCGAAGGCAGGUCUCUGGGCCACUACUGACGCUGAGAAGCGAAAGCGUGGGGAGCGAACAGG
This 253-nucleotide ribosomal RNA is filed under the name uncultured bacterium. RNAcentral describes it as "partial 16S ribosomal RNA". It matches the Rfam family "Bacterial small subunit ribosomal RNA", at positions 524 to 776 of the family's 1533-position model. The record is from RNAcentral.